This 73-nucleotide small RNA is filed under the name uncultured eukaryote. Its description in RNAcentral is "partial transfer-messenger RNA". The record is from RNAcentral.
CUCACGCCGCGGCGGCACAAAGCCUUGAAACAAAAGAAAGUCAAUAAAAAAUAAACGCCAAUAAAAAAUCUUU